AUGAACGCUGGCGGCGUGCCUAAUACAUGCAAGUCGAGCGAACGGACGAGAAGCUUGCUUUUCUGAUGUUAGCGGCGGACGGGUGAGUAACACGUGGAUAACCUACCUAUAAGACUGGGAUAACUUCGGGAAACCGGAGCUAAUACCGGAUAAUAUUUUGAGCCGCAUGGUUCAAAAGUGAAAGACGGUCUUGCUGUCACUUAUAGAUGGAUCCGCGCUGCAUUAGCUAGUUGGUAAGGUAACGGCUUACCAAGGCAACGAUGCAUAGCCGACCUGAGAGGGUGAUCGGCCACACUGGAACUGAGACACGGUCCAGACUCCUACGGGAGGCAGCAGUAGGGAAUCUUCCGCAAUGGGCGAAAGCCUGACGGAGCAACGCCGCGUGAGUGAUGAAGGUCUUCGGAUCGUAAAACUCUGUUAUUAGGGAAGAACAUAUGUGUAAGUAACUGUGCACAUCUUGACGGUACCUAAUCAGAAAGCCACGGCUAACUACGUG
This 496-nucleotide ribosomal RNA is filed under the name uncultured bacterium. RNAcentral describes it as "partial 16S ribosomal RNA". It matches the Rfam family "Bacterial small subunit ribosomal RNA", at positions 29 to 507 of the family's 1533-position model. The record is from RNAcentral.